Molecule: long non-coding RNA, 3760 nt
Organism: Gadus morhua (Atlantic cod)
Lineage: Eukaryota; Metazoa; Chordata; Actinopteri; Gadiformes; Gadidae
Source: Ensembl
CGCUUUGGGAGAUCCAGACAGAAUGAGUCAACUAUGAGCAGGGAUGACGCUCCACCGAGCGGUUUGCAGGGCCAGGCUCUGGCUGUCACUACAGGGGUGUUCAAAUACGUAUCAAAGGACGGUUGCCUCUGGCUCCGAGAUGGAAGUUCUGCCAGAGCUUUACCACCCGUUCAAUUUAAUUAUGAGACUACAAGGGGAACGACGUCAACUCUGUCAGCGGCUGUAAGAUAAUUGUUGUCUGGCUGCUUGGCGCUGCCAAGUCACUUCCUGUGUAUCAAUCUAGCAGAGCACGUAACAAACCAAGGGUUUAAUAUACACGUUGGAAUGAGUAUAUAAAAGUACUAUGAAAUAUGAAUUCACAAAUCUUUUGCAUCAGUCACCAUCUUCAAAGGGGACCAAACUCAACACCGCGAGGAGGGCAUUCAAAUAUCCCUUUACCUACACCUGCUGCAGAACUUCUGAUUGGCUGAAAACGGGUCACAUGCUGACUAAGGAUGAUUGGACACACCCCUCCUCGCUUAUUGGACCUGAAUUGCGUUUCCAGGGGUGCGACUGUAUUACUAAUCAUAUUGAUAAUUAUACCUCACUUCUCAAGCCACCAAAAGUGCUUUAAUAUGCGUGUAUGGGGUGCCCCACUCCACGCUGCGUGUAUGGGGUGCCCCACUCCACGCGUCUUGCUCAGGGUCACGUCGACACUCAGCUAGGAGGAGCCGGGGGAUCGAACUCGCAACCUUUAGGUUACCAGCCAGCUCUACAUCCUGAGCUACUGUCUGUCACCCCAGUCCAGGACCAUCCCAUCGCUUCUCAGAUCCAGAGGAACCAGCGGAGCCUCCCAGAAGGCGUUGUAUGGCAUCGCUGGAGACGGGAUUUGAACAGAGAUCCACAAAGGAGCGUUUCAGAGCCGUUCAUGUGAGCAUCCAUUGAGGGAGAUACACAGGAACAUGGCUCUGUGUUAUUCUACGGAGAGAAGAACUCAGAGGGAACUCUGAGUUCAACACCAGCCUCCAAAACAACUGAACGGGUGCCAAGAGAGAGAUGAACGAGGAGGCCUGCACCGCAUUAUACGGCCCGAUUUGACAGCUUAUGACAUCUUGUGUGUGCGUUUCCAAUACGCUCCCCCCCACAAAGCCUCUGCAAAGCCUCUCUAUUAAGCGACUGAUUUUGCUGUUUCCGAAAGGAGCACAUAAUGAAAUAGCUUUGCUAUAACUCUGUGAUAUCCACCACGCUGCUAAAAUGCCGAAUCCUUCAUAUCGGGCUGCCAGGCGUAAUUGCUAAAAGGGCAUUAUACCCGUGCUGGAUGUCUCUGCUGAGUUCUACUCAUUGUACCUGUGGGUCUUAAUCGGCUGCUUCCGCUUCUCGCCGCAAUCAGGUGGCUCGCAGCGUCGGCCAUCGACCGGUGAUUAGGGGGGCGGCGGUCGAUGAAUGAUGUGUGUUCUCCAGCGUAUCCAUCGCUGGACUUAUCAGCGCGGCGAUCAAUUACAGAGAUAAACAGAGCUCUCCGUCGGCGGAUCAGGGCGUCACGAGGAGUCAACACUGAGUUUGGAUGGCUCACUUCGCGCUGCCCCCUGGACGGGUGCAUUGUGGUUGGUGUGAGGACCGCCCUGUGGACGGGACACGCCACUGUUGUGACACAGCAAGGUAAACAAUGUGUCCGUGGUUGAAUCCUGCGGAAAAUACAAUUUCUGCGAUAGCAGUGAGUUUAAUUAACGAGUGAGGAUGGGACUGGAAUACACUUUGGAAUCCGGGGUGUAAAAACGUCCUGUAAGAUGAUUUUGCGUGUACUGUUGGGACACAUGUGCAUACAGUCUGCAUGUAGGCCUAUGGAGUAACAAUAAUAGGAACUGUCAUUUAGAUUGAUAGAUUUGGUUAAUAUAACCGUAAAGGCCAGUGCUGGCGAGCUGAAGUAAUGCAUAUCAAACAGGCUCCACGCUUCGGAGAGAAAACAGCUUUGGAUGACGAUAAUGUAAACAUGUUGAUACUCGCGUGGCGGAGACGUAAAGGGGCCUAAUUAUAUAUCAAAGGAAAUACAUGGCAUGAACCGCCCCAUGCCUCAUGGAGGCCAAGACUGCCCAUCGCUGCUAGUCUAGGAGCCGUAAUUAAAGACGAUAAGGAUGAUAAUUCAAACGCUUCCACGCGUUGCUGCGCUGAACACAACAAGGCCCUCUGACCUGGGGCAGCGACUCACCGAGUAAUGCCUGGCUUGAGGGCACGCACAUGUUCAGCUGACAAGGCAUUUGGUCGUUUGUUAUUUUACACCCAGCAGGGCGUUCUCCAGAGACUGCAGAGUAAGGUGUUUAUAAGGUUGUUUUAAUCAAAUGUAGUUGGAUUAUAAAGUAUAUAUUUUUAAAUAAUUAUUAAUAAAGUAGUUAUAUUAUUAAAAAGUUGUAUAAUUUAUAUCUAUAACCAAUUACAACCGAUUCAAUGGGAGAGGCAGCCAAGCGGCAGAUCUAACAGACUGACUAAGGUACUUUCAGUUGAUAUGCAGGAAAACGACAGAUGAUAUAGUAAAGGCAUCAGGAGAGAAGGAGAGGGACACAGAUGGGGCGUUUGUUCUGUGAACCCCAGGUGUGGCCCCCUUUACCCCCAUAAAGUCGACUCAAUGAACCUGGUGACUGGAGUGCAGGAUGGAGAUGCUACAAGGGUCUCUUCAUCUGGAUGACGUUGGUAUUAAAAUAGAAAUCACUAAACUUGAUUAGAUUACACAGAGGGCCUGAAACACUGUCGAUCCUGGGCCUGUCGGACGAAUGUCAGGAGAAGUACCCCCUGUUGGAGGGGAACGGACAUGAAGGUCUGAGAACCAACCAUCUCAGAGCAGCGCCUCCACGGAACGUCAGCGACAGACAAGAAGACCCGUUGGGGAGUGCUCCGGAGUGGAUCCAGAUGGAGUCUGGUCACACACGUCUUGCAGGGAGUUCUGGAAACGUUUGUCUACAACUCUGCUACAUAAGACGCUGUCUGUUUGGGAGAAUAAAUCCUUUCUUUGCUUCGAAAAUCUCACAAGUUGUUUUAAUUUGAAGGGAUUCAAAAUGCCUGCGUAAACAAGGCCAAUGUUGUACUACAGUGUGUGUGUGUGUGUGUGUGUGUGUGUGUGUGUGUGUGUGUGUGUGUGUGUGUGUGUGUGUGUGUGUGUGUGUUAGCAUAAAGGACUUGCUAUACAGAUAGAGGAGUGUAGCUGACCCUGAAGAGCUGAGUGGGUGGAAUCACCUUCCCGGGUUUCCGCCGUCAGAGCGGUGGAACUCAAGCCGCCAGUGAGAAGGACGCCGGCUUCCAUCUUGUUCCAUCGGUCUUCUUUCUUUUGAUAUAUAUUUUUGCAUUUUUCUGCUUUAUUAUAAUUUCUUCCAUUUAUACAUCGCUUUUUUUCAAGGUACCCAAAUCACAGUAGAACAGUGAAGGAGGGACCUCACUAACCACCAGCCAAUGUCUAGCACCCACUGGGGUGAUGCACGGCAGCCAAUCAGCGCCAGAACGCUCACCGCACGCCAGCUUGAGGUGGAGAGUGAGGGAAUUAAUGAAUCGGCCCAUUAUACAGGCUUAGAUAGAGUGAGAUAGACUGGAAGGUAGGGGGGAGAUGGAGGGGAGGACAUGCAGGAGGGGAGGACAUGCAGGAGGGGAGGACAUGCAGCAAAGGAUCACGGGGCUGGAAUCGAACCUUGGUCGCUGGGAUCAGGACUGAGCCUUAAUGGUACGCGCUCUACCCCUGGUGAGCCAGCAGGGGCGCCCACGCUCUUCUUUCUGAGAAGACCGUAACAAACGCUCUCAC